Microplitis demolitor is the source of this 1120-nucleotide long non-coding RNA. RefSeq lists it as uncharacterized. The transcript has 4 exons. The record is from RefSeq and is a predicted model, not a curated record. NCBI's taxonomy places the organism in Eukaryota, Metazoa, Arthropoda, Insecta, Hymenoptera, Braconidae.
CAGGUGCAUUUGUCCGUUGAUUAUUGUUUUAUUAUUUAGUAUUAAAAAACUCAAGCGCAAUCGAUUUAGUAUACUGUAAAAAAUUCUUAAGUGAAUGCGGAUUAUUUUCGAAGUUAAUGCAAAGCGGGUGACUGUUUAUUUAAGCUCUUUAUUUACCCCCUAUGCAGAAUGAUUUUUUUUUACUCCGGAAUUUCAAAUGACCGAGUCGAUUCGGAUUCAAAUAAAAUUCAUAAUUACUCCGAAAUUACUCCUGUUUUUUUAAGAUUCUGAAUGUUCUCAGAAAAAAAAAUUCUUAUCGUUAAAAAUAUUUGCAUUAUGAAGUGAAACCAAAAAUUUCCUUACUCUCUAAAAGAAAAUUAGUGAAUACUAAUUUAUUCUUGGUCAAUUUCACUCAUUUGUUUUCAAAAUAUAGAGUUAUCGUUUAAAUUAUUCGCUCAAGUACGACAGUGAGAUAACGAAGCUCGAGGACUGAAAAAAAAUAUAACAAUAAUAAUAAAAAUAAUAACAACAAUAGCAGUUGAAACGUCACCAGGGAUUUGUUAUAAAUACAAGCCAGCCCUGACGUGUAAUUUCAGAAGACCGGUAACCAGCUUACGGUACGUUAAUUAAAAGCUAUUGAAUAAGUGUCUUCAUCAUGUUAGUUCGAAAGAAAUAUUUGCUCGCAUUUUUCAUAGUAACAAUUUUCGUUGCUGCCAUAGUCGAUGCCGAGAUGGCCGGAGACGCACCUCCAGAUUUAGUGAUGAAGAAGACUACGACCAACGGUAUUGUCGGUUCUCUUGUAUCAUACUUAUGGCCAUUUACAUCUGUUUUGAUACAAUUGUUAAACAGCAUAUUGAUCCAUACUAAAAAUGAACAAUUACCCUGUACUAUGUAUAAUUUAUCUAAGUUACAAUAUUCAUGUACGCCCUACCAAGCUACAGUUGUUGAUGACAGCGUUCCCUCUCCAAUGGCUGAUUCUUCAUAAUAAUUAUUUUUCAUAUUAUUAUUAUUAUUAUUAUUAUUAUUGUUAAUUAAUUAUCAUUAUUUUUAUAAUUACAAAACACAUCAAUGAUUUUUAUAGUUUAUUUAAUGUAUGUUAUUGUUAAGAAUGGAUAAUCACUUAAUAAAAUUAUUAUUAUUA